ACCACCAUCGUCGCCGCUCCCUCGAUGGUUGGAGCUCCCUUCCCACAGCCCGAUCUAGAUGCCCCUCCCUGUCAUAUCUGAGCACCACGCUCUGCCCGUCCACAACCAGCCUCCUCAAUCUCCAACCUGUUCUACAUCCCCUCUCCACCCGUCCACAAUCAGCCUCCUCAAUCUCCAACCUCCUGCAGCCGUCCCUCUCUGAUUUGGAUCAAAGUAGAUCCAUCGAUGGAGGCAGGGGAGCAGCAGAUGUGGAGCCAUCAGACGAGUAGGAUCAGCUCGGGAAACAUGAGGGAAGGGAUGGAUCUGGUGGAUGCCGGGGAGCAGCAGAUGGAGCAAAAGAAAUAAAGAAUCAGUUGCUCCCGCUGCUACCUCCCAGCCGCGUCCCACCCCGUUAGGAACGCUGCCCGGCUCCCCUGCUCCUAUCGCCCCACCUUUUCCUAGCCAAUAAUCAAGGGGUGCAGUAGAGGAGCACCAGUACCGGUGUAGAAUGCAUCUGCAGUGGUGCGGGUUGGGGACCGAGUGACGGAUUCAGGUCAAGGGGGUUUUCGGCUAGCGCAGAAGCAGGCUGCAUAAGAAUGCAAUAAUGUGAUUAAGCAAGGCAGGCGUCUGGGAAACAAGAAUGGUGAUGGCUUGCUCAACUAGAAGUUCUACAAUAAAUGGAUGGAUAUUUUCUCCUGGAAUGCAGAUGGAUGUCUGAUUAGUUAUUGGUUAUGCUCUCGAAGAAGUUGCCGAUGGAGAUAGCCGGGGUGUCAUCGUCCUUCCUUGAUCUGGGCAUAUGUGCCGGCACUUGCAGAUUCCAUCGCAUAGAGAAAUGGCACUGCUUCUGUGCUACCUAUGACUCAUUUAUGUGCUGGCCAACUUUCAUUUUCAUGCCAAGCAGGGUUGAUUAUCAGAGGGCUAGGAAACAUGGAGCAUGAGCGGGAGCAUCGACUACGAUGAGUUCAUCAGGGCGACAGUGUACAUCAACAAGCAGUAGCAGGAGGAGCACCUGCCGGCUGCCUUUGUCUACGUCGACAAGGACGGCAGUAGGUGCAUCACCGUAGAAAAAGCUGGAAGAAGCUUGCCAAGAGUACAACAUACAUGUUGUAUCAACACAUCAUUAGGGACGUCGACAAUGACAACAUGCUUGAAGAUGAAAGGCGCCAAGGACGCACAAUGGCGGGUGCGGGAAGGCAUCAGAAGAGCUCGGGUAGAUAGCCGUGAGCGAGAUGCGUCUCGACACAAAAGGGCAAGGUGAUGCUAGAAGGAGCCGGAAUAGUGCGAAGGUCUACCAACCGAACGCAUGGUGCAGGAAUUGGAGGUGGACGCUAUUUCAACUCAGGGAGUGGUCAUCCAUUUUGAAGAGAGAAAACGUGUAGCUGAACUUGGAAGGUCCAGACUCGCUCAAUCGAGCUACGCACGUUCGCGGAAGUUUAUCCAACGGUGGGAACUAGCAUUGUAUUACCGUAGUGAGGUGGCAUAUAUGUGGCAAGCAAUAUCGCUUUCCAAUUUAGAUAGAAGUAAAUGUGAAAUAAAUACGAAUGUAUAUCUACAAACUGAAAUAUGAA
Molecule: long non-coding RNA, 1547 nt
Organism: Triticum dicoccoides
Lineage: Eukaryota; Viridiplantae; Streptophyta; Magnoliopsida; Poales; Poaceae
Exons: 5
Source: RefSeq, a predicted model, not a curated record